Molecule: long non-coding RNA, 1916 nt
Organism: Girardinichthys multiradiatus
Lineage: Eukaryota; Metazoa; Chordata; Actinopteri; Cyprinodontiformes; Goodeidae
Exons: 2
Source: RefSeq, a predicted model, not a curated record
GCAUGAGCGGAGGAAGCAUCUUCCCUCUGAUCAUUUUUCUUGGAUAGAGGGAUAAUAAACAGUCCCAGGAAUCAGCGGCUUGCUCUCGUUUGCAGGAUUUCCCCAGCCUGGGUUUGUUUCCCCUUCUACCUCUCUUCUCCUCCUCCUGGCUCCAGACCUCCAGGUUUUACAUCUCUUCCCUGGCUGUCCCGACUCUUUGGGUGUGUGCCCGUGUGGAUUCAUGAAAGAAAAGGCAACAGAGAGUGAGCUUCCUGCUGCCGCUUAGAAACGGACAGCGAGUGCGUGACCCUUUGCCCGGGGGAUCUGGGGCGAGAGCGAGCGGGUCGAGAGCGGGGGCGUGAUCGGGGGCUGACCCUUGCACUGCUCUGUCUGUGUGCAUCCGUGUGACUGUCUGAGGGGGUUUAUGUAUGUGUGUGUGUCUCCAUAGCUGGCUGGGCGGUCCCAGCCUCACGCUUGGUUAGCGAGGACUAGAGAGCUAGGAUGACAGGCUGAGUUCCAGCCCUGCUUCACCACACACAGAGCCUUGUUUCUGGGUGGCUGUGAGGGCACCGUCCCUCUCCCGCUCAGUCAUCCAGGACAGGAUCGUCUGCAUGCAAGUUUUAAACAGGUUGCUGUUGCUUCAUGACACGUAAACAGUGACAAUGUUUGGACUAAAAGCACCACUUUAUUAUUUACCAGAUGACACCCAGCUCUUCAUUUCCAUUAAGACCACCUCUUCGCUCCCACUUAAGGACAAAACAUAGUCGCACGUACUUGACUCCGCGGACCCACCUGGACGUCCACUGGACAUGUCUGAGCAAAGCUCAAGUAUUACGACCAUGUACGCAUACAUUGUGCCACACAAUAAACAGCUUGGCAGGAAAAAGUCUCCACAUCAAACUGUUUUUAUGUGACACACUGCUCCGAACAGCUGUCGCUAGUAUGCACAGUGUCACGUCCACUCUCUGCCUCGCACUGACAAGUGUAUUCCUCUUCUUCGUCCCUAGUGUGGUUCAAAUUUGUUCUACCUCCCCGUCCAAUUACAACAUGGCAGAAAGUGUGGGAAAUGUAGGAAUUUGUCACCAAAAUCUUAUUUUAAGAUGGGGGCCUCGAUGCAAACCAACCUCGCCCUUUGUACAAAAGUGAUCGCCUCCGUUUGUAAAUCAUAAAGUUAUUGUAAUUAGCUAUAAACUAUUAAUAAUUACCUAUUAUUUAUACAUUUGUUUUGUGCUUUCUCUAUAAGGUUACCCAUGGUGCCUUGAAAGGCACAUACUUAUUAUUUUUAACUUUUAAUGGUCUUUAGUAAUGUCUUUUCCACAGAAUCAAAAUGCAGAGGUACCAGAUCCUGUUCAAAUACUAUGCAGUCAAACAGUGACAAAAAGGUCCUGCCAUAUGUGCUUUAACAAGAAGUCAAAUUUACUGGCCUCAGCAUUUUAUGACUUUCGCAAAUCACUAUUACAUUUUAAUUGGCUAAAUGUACUAAAACUAUGCAUGUAACCUUGCACAUAUACGGAAGCAUGCAUGGCAAUUUAUCCAGGUUUCACCUUUCAUUUUUCAGAUAUUUAAAUGUUCCAAAGCAAAAUGCUCCUAUGUAGACUUAUACUCUGUUACUGUACACAAACAAGUGCUUAUAAAACAUAAUAUGUACACCACAUGCAUUAAGAUGUACCUCAACUCCUGCUGCUUUGUAACCGGUGUGGUCGGUUGUGGGAUUCAUUGGAGUCCUUGAUGUGUGCAGAAGAGUGAUGAUGAGCUUAAUGCACUCUGUCUGUGUCCUGGACGUGACCACCACAUUAAUAUUGUACUAAUACAGCGCACUGUCUGCUGCAUGCUAAUUGCUUACUAUCAUUCUCAUGCAGUCUCUCCCAUGUUCCCAUAUAUAGUCUAUUGUACAGCGAGAAAAGAGAAGACAGACCUCUACAGAGGUACUAAAUCUA